Molecule: ribosomal RNA, 751 nt
Filed under: Macrococcoides caseolyticum
Lineage: Bacteria; Bacillati; Bacillota; Bacilli; Caryophanales; Staphylococcaceae
Description: bacterial SSU rRNA
Rfam family: Bacterial small subunit ribosomal RNA
Source: RNAcentral
CUAUAAUGCAGUCGAGCGAACGGACGAGAGUGCUUGCACUCUCUGAUGUUAGCGGCGGACGGGUGAGUAACACGUGGGUAACCUACCUAUAAGACUGGGAUAACUUCGGGAAACCGGAGCUAAUACCGGAUAAUAUUUAGCUUCGCAUGAAGCAAUAGUGAAAGACGGUUCUGCUGUCACUUAUAGAUGGACCCGCGGUGUAUUAGCUAGUUGGUGAGGUAACGGCUCACCAAGGCAACGAUACAUAGCCGACCUGAGAGGGUGAUCGGCCACACUGGGACUGAGACACGGCCCAGACUCCUACGGGAGGCAGCAGUAGGGAAUCUUCCGCAAUGGACGAAAGUCUGACGGAGCAACGCCGCGUGAGUGAAGAAGGUUUUCGGAUCGUAAAACUCUGUUGUAAGGGAAGAACAAGUACGUUAGUAACUGAACGUACCUUGACGGUACCUUACCAGAAAGCCACGGCUAACUACGUGCCAGCAGCCGCGGUAAUACGUAGGUGGCAAGCGUUAUCCGGAAUUAUUGGGCGUAAAGCGCGCGUAGGCGGUCUCUUAAGUCUGAUGUGAAAGCCCCCGGCUCAACCGGGGAGGGUCAUUGGAAACUGGGAGACUUGAGUGCAGAAGAGGAGAGUGGAAUUCCAUGUGUAGCGGUGAAAUGCGCAGAGAUAUGGAGGAACACCAGUGGCGAAGGCGGCUCUCUGGUCUGUAACUGACGCUGAGGUGCGAAAGCGUGGGGAUCAAACAGGAUUAGA